AGGAUCAUUGUCGAAAUCUGCAAAGCAGAAUGACUUUGCGAACAAGUGAAAAUCAUGGUUGAAAGGCACCACGGUCGCCUUUCCGACCCGAUCAUUGGAGGCGGUUCCCGUCCCUCCCACAUGGUCAAAAUCAACAAUACCUCAGCGCGGAAUGCGCCAAGGAAAACAAACAGAAGGUACGCCUACCCCUCUUGCACCGUAAAUGGUUGUGUGGUUGUGGCUUGCGUAUUUCGCUUAAUCUAAUGUUACAACGACUCUCGGCAACGGAUAUCUUGGCUCUCGCAUCGAUGAAGAACGUAGCAAAAUGCGAUAGCUGGUGUGAAUUGCAGAAUCCCGUGAACCAUCGAGUCUUUGAACGCAAGUUGCGCCUGAAGCCGUCAGGCCAAGGGCACGCCUGCCUGGGUGUCACCCUCCCCCUUGCCCAAGUAACACGCCUCCUCCCACCGAAAAUUGGGAAGGGGGGUGCGAUGGGCGGAUAAAUGGCCUCCCAUGGUGCGUAAUUCGUGGUUGGCCCAAAAUUAGCACUUGGCUUAGGAAGCCACGACAAGCAUUGGCGAAAAACUCCGGUGAUUCCUUGAUCGUUGUUGUCGUGCUAGACUUUGUAGCGUGCUAUAAAAUACCCUCGGUGCUUGCAUUCUAAGAUUUGCGACCCC
RNAcentral lists this ribosomal RNA (653 nucleotides) under Parnassia faberi. Its description in RNAcentral is "eukaryotic LSU rRNA". The stretch from base 253 to 408 matches the Rfam family "5.8S ribosomal RNA". Lineage: Eukaryota; Viridiplantae; Streptophyta; Magnoliopsida; Celastrales; Celastraceae. The record is from RNAcentral.